Mirounga angustirostris (Northern elephant seal) is the source of this 906-nucleotide long non-coding RNA. RefSeq lists it as uncharacterized. The transcript has 4 exons. NCBI's taxonomy places the organism in Eukaryota, Metazoa, Chordata, Mammalia, Carnivora, Phocidae. The record is from RefSeq and is a predicted model, not a curated record.
CUAAUAGAGACACUUAGUGCUCACCAAAUAUUCCAAGUCUUCUCCUAUAUUUCCAAGUCUUAUAUGCAGUUCAACUGGGAUUAAAUGAUUAAUUUGGCCAAGGGACUAUGACAGGAAGUGACCUGGGCUAUGUUUAAGCCAAAGCACUUAGGAGCUGGUGGGCCACCUCCAUCUCACGUCUCCCCUGCCGCGUAGCCUUGGAGGUGAUGUGUUCCUGAUGGUGCAACCCUGAGCUGUCCCUCCAGUGAGGAAAACACCAGAACUCAGCACCAGGAACCCGUGGCCCUUGCCUGAUUCCGAUUUCACCACCUGAUUGGGGUCUGCCUCCCUCCCAAGACUGCGAGCUCCAAGGACAAGGAGUUGGCCGAGGUUGGUCACCCUUGUUUCCCGAGCACAUACUACAGUAGACACUCCGUUGAACCGGGGGCCUUGGUCGGACUGCUCUGAGAGCAUCUCAAAGCACUGGCAGCCACGGGCCAAGACCGGGGUCACCAGAAGGGAGCUCCACUUGGACUCUGAGUUUCCUGGGGUUGCCGCGACAACAGACCACACACUGGGUGGACACCAUGGAACACAUCUUCAUACAGCCCAGCCAUGCUUCAAGCACUGAAGAGUCACAGAGGCUGCAGGUUACCAACGGACAACACGACUCUAUAAUUUAGAAAAUUUAUGUCUUCUAAAACCCCAACCCCCAGAUACAGCCACUCUUAACAGCUAAGGGCACAGUCUUGCAGAUGUCGCCUAUAAAAAUACAGAGAUGUAUGUAUUUGUGAAUUAAUCAAGAAUCUUUCAGUUGCAGGUGAGAAACAAUCACCUUAAACCAGCUUGGGGGAAGAAAAAAAGGUUGGGAAGCAUCUUUGACUCGUAAUUCAAAAGCCUGGGAUGUAUAAAAAUAAAAUGAAUGAA